GAUGAACGCUGGCGGCGUGCCUAAUACAUGCAAGUCGAGCGAACGGACGAGAAUCUUGCUUCUCUGAUGUUAGCGGCGGACGGGUGAGUCACACGUGUAUACCCUACCUAUCAUACUGGGAUAACUUCGGGACACCGGAGCUAAUACCGUAUAAUCUUUUGCUCCGCAUGGUUCAAAAGUGAAAUACGGUCUUGCUGUCACUUCUCGCUGCAUCCGCGCUGCAUUAGCUAGUUGUUACGGUCACGGCUUACCACGGCAACGAUGCAUAGACGACGUGCGAGAGGGAUAGGCCGCACGGGAACGGAGACACGGUCAAGAGGACUAAGGGAGGCAGCAGAAGGGAAUCUGACGCAAUGGGGGAAAGAAUGACGGAGCAAGGCCGCGUGAGUGAUGAAGGUCUUCGGAGCGUAAAAAUCGGUUAUUAGGGAAGAACAGAUGUGGAAGGAAAUGUGCAGAGAGUGACGGUAAUUAAUAAGAAAGCAACGGCUAACUACGUG
This 497-nucleotide ribosomal RNA is filed under the name uncultured bacterium. Its description in RNAcentral is "partial 16S ribosomal RNA". It matches the Rfam family "Bacterial small subunit ribosomal RNA", at positions 28 to 507 of the family's 1533-position model. The record is from RNAcentral.